This is a long non-coding RNA of Thalassophryne amazonica, 193 nucleotides long. RefSeq lists it as uncharacterized. NCBI's taxonomy places the organism in Eukaryota, Metazoa, Chordata, Actinopteri, Batrachoidiformes, Batrachoididae. The record is from RefSeq and is a predicted model, not a curated record. The transcript has 5 exons.
AAAGUACCUACAUGAGCAUGGUGAGAUGUUGAAGAGCAUAUAAAAUAUUAUACAAAAUAUAGAUCAAAAGGCCUUUUCAAUGUUAAAAUCAUAUCUGCUAAAUCCGCAAUACAGAUCAGAUGCGGAUCAAAUUUAGUCUAUUCACUGAGCAUGCAAAUUUGCACAUCAUUGUCACAAAGGAGAGUGAUUGAGG